This is a non-coding RNA of Procambarus clarkii (red swamp crayfish), 810 nucleotides long. Lineage: Eukaryota; Metazoa; Arthropoda; Malacostraca; Decapoda; Cambaridae. The record is from RefSeq and is a predicted model, not a curated record.
AGACAGGAAAGACGAAUCCAUUUGACACCAUUUUGCUUCACCACCUAAAAGCUGUCGCCCAGUUGGGUGGGUGUGGAGCACGUGACUGUAAAGCUGCCGCCCAGUUGGUUUGUUUAUUUACAUGGUGACUUCUGAGACGCACCACGGCCGCCACACCCGCCAAAUUAUCCAAUGAGAGUCGUGUGCCAGAACCAACCAGCCAAUCAGCGGGCAGCGCGCCACUACACCAGGCAUUUUUUUCCCCAGAGCAGUGAGGCGGUGGAAAUAGGUGGGUGAGAGAGGUAGAACACUUGGUGCAUAGCCUCACGUAAGCCAAGCCUCGUCACGCCUCGCAACGCUCCACAAGGAUCAACAACAACUGUAUUUCUCUCUGCACUCAGCAUGAUACACAUUAUUUUGUCUCAGCAAGAGAAAAAAUCUCUUGCCCGAUAACCAUGUGUCUUCACCUUAUGUUCACUAGUUCUCACCCGAUAUCUAUGUGAGCUGGUAUGAUAUCCACUUGACUUCAACCAAUAUUAAUGAUAUCCACUUGACUUCAACCAAUAUUAAUGAUAUCCACUUGACUUCAACCAAUAUUAAUUAAAAAAAAACUAGGAAUAAAUGAAUCUACAAAAGGCUUAUUCGCCCACACGAGGCAAUUACUAAUGUCUCAAACAAUUCAGUGCCUCCAUUUCAAUUACCAUUCUACUUGUGUAAAGGAGGAAAUGUAUAUGUUUAUCUCUCAGAAUGUUUGGUAAUAUGUUUAUUGUUUGUGAUGUGUAUCUAUGUAUGUAUUAACACGAUGUACUGAACGGGGUGAGAAUAGCUGGA